GCCACUGCUAUUGGGGUUCGGCUAAGCCAUGCGCGUGGAGGGCGUCCCGCAAGGGAUGGCCCCGCAGACGGCACAGUAACACGUCGUCAACCCACCUUAGGGUGGGGGACAACCUCGGGAAACUGAGGAUAAUCCCCCAUAGGCGGGGGAGGCUGGAAUGCGCCCCCGCUGAAAGCUCAGGCGCCCUAGGACGGGACGGCGGCCUAUCAGGUAGUUGGUGGUGUGACG
This 228-nucleotide ribosomal RNA is filed under the name uncultured archaeon. RNAcentral describes it as "partial 16S ribosomal RNA". It matches the Rfam family "Archaeal small subunit ribosomal RNA", at positions 23 to 246 of the family's 1478-position model. The record is from RNAcentral.